This 363-nucleotide ribosomal RNA is filed under the name Vibrio parahaemolyticus. Its description in RNAcentral is "bacterial SSU rRNA". It matches the Rfam family "Bacterial small subunit ribosomal RNA", at positions 1171 to 1533 of the family's 1533-position model. The record is from RNAcentral. RNAcentral also lists the same sequence under 4 other names. Lineage: Bacteria; Pseudomonadati; Pseudomonadota; Gammaproteobacteria; Vibrionales; Vibrionaceae.
AGGUGGGGACGACGUCAAGUCAUCAUGGCCCUUACGAGUAGGGCUACACACGUGCUACAAUGGCGCAUACAGAGGGCGGCCAACUUGCGAAAGUGAGCGAAUCCCAAAAAGUGCGUCGUAGUCCGGAUUGGAGUCUGCAACUCGACUCCAUGAAGUCGGAAUCGCUAGUAAUCGUGGAUCAGAAUGCCACGGUGAAUACGUUCCCGGGCCUUGUACACACCGCCCGUCACACCAUGGGAGUGGGCUGCAAAAGAAGUAGGUAGUUUAACCUUCGGGGGGACGCUUACCACUUUGUGGUUCAUGACUGGGGUGAAGUCGUAACAAGGUAGCGCUAGGGGAACCUGGCGCUGGAUCACCUCCUUA